This 393-nucleotide ribosomal RNA is filed under the name uncultured bacterium. Its description in RNAcentral is "bacterial SSU rRNA". It matches the Rfam family "Bacterial small subunit ribosomal RNA", at positions 505 to 898 of the family's 1533-position model. The record is from RNAcentral.
GUGUCAGCAGCCGCGGUAAUACGUAGGGUGCGAGCGUUAAUCGGAAUUACUGGGCGUAAAGCGUGCGCAGGCGGUUCUGAAAGUCAGCUGUGAAAGCCCCGGGCUUAACCUGGGAAUUGCGGUUGAAACUACAGGGCUAGAAUCUGGCAGAGGGGGGUGGAAUUCCACGUGUAGCAGUGAAAUGCGUAGAGAUGUGGAGGAACACCGAUGGCGAAGGCAGCCCCCUGGGCUGAGAUUGACGCUCAGGCACGAAAGCGUGGGGAGCAAACAGGAUUAGAUACCCUGGUAGUCCACGCCCUAAACGAUGUCAACUAGGUGUUGGGAGCGCAAGUUCUCAGUACCGCAGCUAACGCGUGAAGUUGACCGCCUGGGGAGUACGGUCGCAAGAUUAAA